GAGCUAAAAUCUAUUAGCUUUGGUCCACUUGAUUCUCAGCUAUAAACUUCAUUCGGUAUAAAUACAGGUUCUUUUUAAAGUUUAAGCCUCCUCUCUUUGAUCUGUUUUUCUAGAGCCUUUCGUGAAUUUUUUCUUCUUCUUUGUUUCUGGGAGAAGACAAAUCGACUUGAAAGUUUGCCUAGGCUUGCAUUAUGUAAUAACAAUGUAUUGUGAAUAAUCUGUUGUCAGGAAUGUUCAAGUUGUAGCACAAUGUUUAUCCAGCUUAUCUUCAAAACGUGAAGGUCUUCCUCAAAACAUACCUUCCAAAAUCAACCUCAUCGUCUAUGUACCUACAUCGGACUGUCAUCAGCAACCAGCAUUUUAAGUUUCCUAAGGGCACUGGCGAACAAUCUGUUGGACAUCAAUUUCGUGAAAAGGACUUGAAAGUUGUCUUGGACAAUCAACUUUAGGUAACCCUUUUGGGAGCAUAUGAUUUGGAGUUAACCGGGUGCAUACAUAAUGGCAUAAGUUGGAUGUUUUUCCUUGUGUUGUGCCCAUGUCUGCUUAUAUCCCAUUCACGUUAAGAGUUAAUUUGAUGGUAUCAUUGUGCUGGAAUGUCCGCCAUUCAUUUGCUUCUGAUGACUGCUUGAUGUUCAAUUGAAAAGACAGGGGACGUUUCUUCUGGAGGAUUUGAGUGGUCUUGUAAAGAUGUUUUUUCUUUCAGGACAAACUACGACAAAAGUAGGUCCUAACCCAGGUCUAAUCAAGUUAGUUCCCAUAGUUACUCUUUAAACGAUGAACGUCCAGAAAAACUAUAAUUUUAACAUCUGUAAUUCUUUCUUGUAAU
This is a long non-coding RNA of Hibiscus syriacus, 826 nucleotides long. RefSeq lists it as uncharacterized. The record is from RefSeq and is a predicted model, not a curated record. Lineage: Eukaryota; Viridiplantae; Streptophyta; Magnoliopsida; Malvales; Malvaceae. The transcript is spliced from 3 exons.